GACGAACGCUGGCGGCGUGCUUAACACAUGCAAGUCGAACGGAAAGGCCCUGCUUUUGUGGGGUGCUCGGGUGGCGAGCGGAAGAGUAAAGCGAGAGUAGCCUAACCUUGACUCUGGGAUAGCUUAAGGAAACUAGGGCUAAUCCAAGAUAGGAGCUCCUGCUGCAUGGUGGGGGUUGGUAAGUUUCGGCGGUUGGGGAGGGGGUCGCGGCGCUUCCGCCUGUUGGUGGGGUAGUGGCUUUGCAAGGCUUUGACGGGUAGCCGGCCUGAGAGGGUGACCGGCAACACUGGGACUGAGAUGCGGCCCAGACGCCUACGGGAUGCAGCAGUGGGGAAUAUUGCACAAUGGGCGGAAGCCUGAUGCAGCAACGCCGCGUGCGGGAUGACGGCCUUCGGGUUGUAAACCGCUUUCGCCUGUGACGAAGCGUGAGUGACGGUAAUGGGUAAAGAAGCACCGGCUAACUACGUG
RNAcentral lists this ribosomal RNA (468 nucleotides) under uncultured bacterium. RNAcentral describes it as "partial 16S ribosomal RNA". It matches the Rfam family "Bacterial small subunit ribosomal RNA", at positions 28 to 507 of the family's 1533-position model. The record is from RNAcentral.